This 425-nucleotide ribosomal RNA is filed under the name uncultured bacterium. Its description in RNAcentral is "bacterial SSU rRNA". It matches the Rfam family "Bacterial small subunit ribosomal RNA", at positions 356 to 773 of the family's 1533-position model. The record is from RNAcentral.
AGGGAAUAUUGGACAAUGGGCGCAAGCCUGAUCCAGCCAUGCCGCGUGAGUGAAGAAGGCCCUCGGGUUGUAAAGCUCUUUUGUCCGGAAAGAAAAGCGCCGGGUUAAUACCCUGGUGUCCUGACGGUAUCGGAAGAAUAAGCAACGGCUAACUUCGUGCCAGCAGUUGCGGUAAUACGAAGGGUGCAAGCGUUACUCGGAAUUACUGGGCGUAAAGCGUGCGUAGGUGGUUCGUUAAGUCCGAUGUGAAAGCCUUGGGCUCAACCUGGGAAUGGCAUUGGAUACUGGCGGGCUAGAGUGCGGUAGAGGGUAGUGGAAUUCCCGGUGUAGCAGUGAAAUGCGUAGAGAUCGGGAGGAACAUUUGUGGUGAAGGCGACUACCUGGACCAGCACUGACACUGAGGCACGAAAGCGUGGGGAGCAAAC